RNAcentral lists this unclassified non-coding RNA (208 nucleotides) under Hevea brasiliensis (rubber tree). The record is from RNAcentral. Lineage: Eukaryota; Viridiplantae; Streptophyta; Magnoliopsida; Malpighiales; Euphorbiaceae.
UUUCUAACUUCAAAAAGAGGAAUUAAAAAAAAAAUCUCUCAAAAAAAUUAUAAAGAAGGGAUAAAUCGAGAGAAUUUAUAUGAACGUUAUGAAUAGGACCACUCUUUUUGCUAUGUAAAUUUUUUCAAUAUUUUUUUAAGGGGUUAUUUGGUGAUUUUGGAAGAUGUUUGGGUUUGAUAUAUGAUGUUCAUGUGCAACUAUUUUUUUU